AUACUUACCUGGACGGGGUCAAUGGGCGAUCGAGAAGGCUCAUGGCCUAUAUCAAUGCCUCACAUUGCACUUUGUGGGUGGGUUGGUUUACCAUCUCCCCAAGCGGGAGAGUGAUUUGUGGCAGAGGGGGUACGCGUCCGCGCGGCCCCUA
Molecule: small nuclear RNA, 151 nt
Filed under: Oryza meridionalis
Lineage: Eukaryota; Viridiplantae; Streptophyta; Magnoliopsida; Poales; Poaceae
Description: U1 spliceosomal RNA
Rfam family: U1 spliceosomal RNA
About the family: U1 is a small nuclear RNA (snRNA) component of the spliceosome (involved in pre-mRNA splicing). Its 5' end forms complementary base pairs with the 5' splice junction, thus defining the 5' donor site of an intron.
Source: Rfam by way of RNAcentral